UUUGUGUGUGGCCAGGGAUUCUUGUGCAUCAGCUCGCAGGUCCAACUCGGUGUGAUUUGCGAAUGUUCCUGCGGCUUGGUCCCUUCUUGUGUUAGGCCGCAUAACCGUCUCGCAGGAUUUUACACUUAGACGCCAAAGGUUCCUUCUCCUGGUGUGCGGCCUGGGCUCUCUUUAGUUCUUCUCGCACGCCCAGGCCGGUGUAUUUUGUGAACCUCAGUACGGCCUGGUCUCACGUGCAACCAACUCGCAGGCCCAACUCGCACAUUUUGACACUUAGCAUUUUCUUGCUCAAAUCUUCUGCUGCCAGGUGAGUAACCCGCAGACCCAGGUAGGUGUGAAAUGCGAACUCAUCUGCGAGAUGGUUCUCAGCCAGGCCGAGCCGCACAACCAAGUAGCAUACAGCUGUUUUUCAAGUUUUCAUGCCUUAAACUCUUCUCUCAGCCUUCUCACAUGCU
This 455-nucleotide long non-coding RNA is filed under the name Eutrema salsugineum. RNAcentral describes it as "long non-coding RNA (ESAL_LNC000950)". The record is from RNAcentral. Lineage: Eukaryota; Viridiplantae; Streptophyta; Magnoliopsida; Brassicales; Brassicaceae.